GACAGACGGAAUCAAAAAAGGAAUAAAAAAUUAUUCCCUACAAAUGGUUAUGAUCAAUUUGUUAAAAAAAUAUCUCAUAUAAGAACAAAUGGUUAUGAUCAAUGUCACGCCCCAGAUUUCUCGUUUCCCCGGGCACACUAACAGACCCGCCGUAUACAUAGGAAUUUUCCCUGUAUACGAAGCGAAGCUGUACAUGAACCCGAAUCAAAC
RNAcentral lists this long non-coding RNA (210 nucleotides) under Ananas comosus (pineapple). RNAcentral's name for it is "long non-coding RNA (ACOM_LNC030825)". Lineage: Eukaryota; Viridiplantae; Streptophyta; Magnoliopsida; Poales; Bromeliaceae. The record is from RNAcentral.